RNAcentral lists this ribosomal RNA (254 nucleotides) under uncultured bacterium. RNAcentral describes it as "partial 16S ribosomal RNA". It matches the Rfam family "Bacterial small subunit ribosomal RNA", at positions 524 to 776 of the family's 1533-position model. The record is from RNAcentral.
UACGUAGGGUGCAAGCGUUGUCCGGAAUUAUUGGGCGUAAAGAGCUCGUAGGCGGUGUGUCGCGUCGGCCGUGAAAACUUGCAGCUUAACUGUGGGCGUGCGGUCGAUACGGGCAUCACUGGAGUUCGGCAGGGGAGACUGGAAUUCCUGGUGUAGCGGUGAAAUGCGCAGAUAUCAGGAGGAACACCGGUGGCGAAGGCGGCAUCCUGGGCCGGCAUUGACGCUGAGGAGCGAAAGCCAGGGGAGCAAACGGG